AGCUUUGCACUGUGGGAGUGUCGCAGCCAGUGAGAUUUAGCCAAGGCAAGAUUAGUGCUAAUAAAAAACCUUUCCCAAUACCCCACCAUGAUGACUUGAAAUAUAGUUAGCACUGGGGAAAAAAAAAAGGAAAUCUUUU
Molecule: non-coding RNA, 139 nt
Organism: Otolemur garnettii (small-eared galago)
Lineage: Eukaryota; Metazoa; Chordata; Mammalia; Primates; Galagidae
Source: Rfam